Molecule: ribosomal RNA, 253 nt
Filed under: uncultured bacterium
Lineage: Bacteria
Description: partial 16S ribosomal RNA
Rfam family: Bacterial small subunit ribosomal RNA
Source: RNAcentral
UACGAAGGGGGCUAGCGUUGUUCGGAAUUACUGGGCGUAAAGCGCACGUAGGCGGGUGGUUAAGUCAGGGGUGAAAACCCGGAGCUCAACUCCGGAACUGCCUUUGAUACUGGCCAUCUAGAGAUCGGAAGAGGUAAGUGGAAUUCCCAGUGUAGAGGUGAAAUUCGUAGAUAUUGGGUAGUACACCAGUGGCGAAGGCGGCUUACUGGUCCGACACUGACGCUGAGGUGCGAAAGCGUGGGGAGCAAACAGG